Molecule: ribosomal RNA, 206 nt
Filed under: uncultured bacterium
Lineage: Bacteria
Description: partial 16S ribosomal RNA
Rfam family: Bacterial small subunit ribosomal RNA
Source: RNAcentral
GAUUGUAGUCUGCAACUCGACUACAUGAAGCUGGAAUCGCUAGUAAUCGCAGAUCAGAAUGCUGCGGUGAAUACGUUCCCGGGUCUUGUACACACCGCCCGUCACACCAUGGGAGUCGGAAAUGCCCGAAGCCGGUGACCAAACCAAUAAGGAAGGAGCCGUCGAAGGCAGGUCUGAUAACUGGGGUGAAGUCGUAACAAGGUACC